UACAGAUGCUCCAGGACCCCACCUUGCAAUCAGCUGCUGGAUUCCUCCUCCUGUCAGCCACCAGACUGAUGUCCUGCGCCUGGCCAGAGGUAGCUGAGUCAAGCCAGGCAUCCCUCCUUCCCCUAAGUCUGCCACCUCAACCCACAUGGAUGGGUGACCCCCAUGGGACGGUGGCCUUGGUAUCUGCACACACAUGGUGCCUGCAUCAGGGAUGGGCGAGUCUCACCACUACCCAGAAGAAGAACAUGCCAUGCUGUUAUUACAACCUAACUGGAUCCUUUACAAUCCAUUGUAUCUCUCAUUCUAGUUAUUUGUUGCCUCAUCACAUUGUCUAGGAUACACACACACACACACACACACACACACUUAUUUAUUUAUUUAUUUUUGUAGUGAUGAUUUAACCCAUGGGCCCUUUGCACUUCUAAGUUUUUUUGUUUUAUUUUGGUAUGGCAUGGUGAUUGUAGUUAGUAAUAUUGUAUUAUUUACUUUAAAU
RNAcentral lists this long non-coding RNA (493 nucleotides) under Marmota monax (woodchuck). Lineage: Eukaryota; Metazoa; Chordata; Mammalia; Rodentia; Sciuridae. The record is from RNAcentral.